This 316-nucleotide long non-coding RNA is filed under the name Manihot esculenta (cassava). RNAcentral's name for it is "long non-coding RNA (MESC_LNC001227)". Lineage: Eukaryota; Viridiplantae; Streptophyta; Magnoliopsida; Malpighiales; Euphorbiaceae. The record is from RNAcentral.
GUAAUACCCGGCUAGACUCCGGUAUCGGAAUUCCUACCGUCCGGUGGAAUUUGGGUGUCGGAAACCUCUAGAAGGGUAAAAGCAUGUUUUUAUAAAAUGUUUUCAUGUAUUUUAAUGUUUUAAGUAUGAUUUUAAAUAAGUUUUUUUGCAUGAAAAUUCUUUAAGGAAAAACCCAGGUUCGGCCGCCGAAACUCACUUUCGGCCGCCGAACAUGCAUGGACUUUGGGAGGCACGUUAGGCCCCCGAAAGUCUAAGUGAGGGAAGUGCAGGUUCGGCCGCCGAACCUUAUGUUCGGCCGCCGAACAUUGCAUGGAUG